AGAGUUUGAUCNUGGCUCAGGACGAACGCUGGCGGCGUGCUUAACACAUGCAAGUCGAGCGAUGAAGUUUCUUCGGAAAUGGAUUAGCGGCGAACGGGUGAGGAACACGUGAAGAAUCUGCCCUCCACUUUGGGAUAACACCGGGAAACCGGUGCUAAUACCGAAUAUUGAAACAUAAGUGGCAUCACUGAGUUUUGAAAGAAUUUCGGUGGAGGAUGACUUCGCGGCCUAUCAGCUAGUUGGUGAGGUAAUGGCUCACCAAGGCAACGACGGGUAGCCGGCCUGAGAGGGCGACCGGCCACACUGGGACUGAGACACGGCCCAGACUCCUACGGGAGGCAGCAGUGGGGAAUAUUGGGCAAUGGAGGAAACUCUGACCCAGCGACGCCGCGUGCGGGAUGAAGGCCUUCGGGUUGUAAACCGCUUUCAGUAGGGAAGAAGCGAAAGUGACGGUACCUACAAAAGAAGCACCGGCUAACUAUGUGCCAGCAGCCGCGGUAAUACAUAGGGUGCAAGCGUUGUCCGGAAUUAUUGGGCGUAAAGAGCUCGUAGGUCGUUUGUUACGUCGGAUGUGAAAACCUGAGGCUCAACCUCAGGCCUGCAUUCGAUACGGGCAAACUAGAGUUUGGUAGGGGAGACUGGAAUUCCUGGUGUAGCGGUGGAAUGCGCAGAUAUCAGGAGGAACACCAAUGGCGAANGCAGGUCUCUGGGCCAAUACUGACACUGA
This 727-nucleotide ribosomal RNA is filed under the name uncultured bacterium. Its description in RNAcentral is "bacterial SSU rRNA". It matches the Rfam family "Bacterial small subunit ribosomal RNA", at positions 8 to 749 of the family's 1533-position model. The record is from RNAcentral.